This 465-nucleotide ribosomal RNA is filed under the name uncultured bacterium. Its description in RNAcentral is "partial 16S ribosomal RNA". It matches the Rfam family "Bacterial small subunit ribosomal RNA", at positions 339 to 795 of the family's 1533-position model. The record is from RNAcentral.
CUACGGGACGCUGCAGUGAGGAAUAUUGCGCAAUGGGGGAAACCCUGACGCAGCGACGCCGCGUGGAUGAUGAAGGCCUUCGGGUCGUAAAAUCCUGUCAGAAGGAAAGAAGUGUAUGGUAGCUAAUAUCUGCCAUACUUGACGGUACCUUCAAAGGAAGCACCGGCUAACUCCGUGCCAGCAGCCGCGGUAAUACGGAGGGUGCAAGCGUUGUUCGGAAUUACUGGGCGUAAAGCGCGCGUAGGCGGUUUUAUAAGUCAGAUGUGAAAGUCCACGGCUCAACCAUGGAAGUGCAUUUGAAACUGUAAGACUUGAGUAUUGGAGGGGGUAGUGGAAUUCCCGGUGUAGAGGUGAAAUUCGUAGAUAUCGGGAGGAAUACCGGUGGCGAAGGCGACUAUCUGGCCAAAUACUGACGCUGAGGUGCGAAAGCGUGGGGAGCAAACAGGAUUAGAUACCCGAGUAGUC